RNAcentral lists this ribosomal RNA (485 nucleotides) under uncultured bacterium. Its description in RNAcentral is "partial 16S ribosomal RNA". It matches the Rfam family "Bacterial small subunit ribosomal RNA", at positions 28 to 507 of the family's 1533-position model. The record is from RNAcentral.
GAUGAACGCUAGCGACAGGCUUAACACAUGCAAGUCGAGGGGCAGCACAGGUAGCAAUACCGGGUGGCGACCGGCGCACGGGUGAGUAACGCGUAUGCAACUUACCUAUCAGAGGGGGAUAACCCGGCGAAAGUCGGACUAAUACCGCAUGAAGCAGGGGUCCCGCAUGGGGAUAUUUGCUAAAGAUUCAUCGCUGAUAGAUAGGCAUGCGUUCCAUUAGGCAGUUGGCGGGGUAACGGCCCACCAAACCGACGAUGGAUAGGGGUUCUGAGAGGAAGGUCCCCCACAUUGGUACUGAGACACGGACCAAACUCCUACGGGAGGCAGCAGUGAGGAAUAUUGGUCAAUGGCCGAGAGGCUGAACCAGCCAAGUCGCGUGAGGGAUGAAGGUUCUAUGGAUCGUAAACCUUUUUUAUAAGGGAAUAAAGUGCGGGACGUGUCCCGUUUUGUAUGUACCUUAUGAAUAAGGAUCGGCUAACUCCGUG